This 427-nucleotide ribosomal RNA is filed under the name Vitreolina aurata. RNAcentral describes it as "partial 16S rRNA". It matches the Rfam family "Bacterial large subunit ribosomal RNA", at positions 1819 to 2561 of the family's 2925-position model. The record is from RNAcentral. Lineage: Eukaryota; Metazoa; Mollusca; Gastropoda; Littorinimorpha; Eulimidae.
GUCUUCUUGGCUCCCAUAAGAAGUCUAAUCUGCCCGGUGACUAUGUUUAACGGCCGCAGUAUCUUGACUGUGCAAAGGUAGCAUAAUAAUUUGCCCUGUAAUUGAGGGCUGGUAUGAAAGAUUGAAUGGAGUGUGACUGUCUCUUUAUAAUUUUAUAAAAUUUAGUUUUUAUGUGAAGAACCAUAAAUACUAUUAAGUGACAAGAAGACCCUAUCGAGCUUUAGGGUUAUAGGUUAUUUUAAUUUUAAGUCUUUUGAUUGGGGCAAUCCAAAAACAAAUAAAGUUUUUUGUGAGAGUAUAGAUCCAAUAUGAUUGAUUUUUAGAUUUAGUUACCGUAGGGAUAACAGCAUAAUUUUUUUUAAGAGUUCUAAUCGAAAAAAAAGUUUGUGACCUCGAUGUUGGAUUAAAAUACCUAUAAAUGUAGCAG